GGGUCUUGACGUCUCUCUUUCACACACAACAGCACCGACAUUUAAAACCCACUCGACAUACACCUGCUCUUCUGAAGGCGGACGGGAGGUAACUAGAACAUCAGUCUUAAGGUAUAAAUUGACGUUAAAAAAGGCAAAAAAUGUUUCGCCGCCAACACAUCAUAACGCUAAAGUCUCACUCUUGUCAUUUUCUGAAACUUGGCAGCCCUGUAUUCACACGACAGUAAGGCACAAAGUCACAACAUGUCAACCUGAGGACAUCCACCACAGUCUUUUACCUGGAUGACCAGUGGUCAGUUGAUACCCAGUCAUCGAGAGCUCCAGCUGACUGCUUCAUGGGUUCAUUCUGGACAAAAAUGAUGGCGCUGUCGAAAACUCUGUGGUGGGUUUUUAUUCACACUAAUUCCCCCCAAAAAACAGCAGCAAACAGUGGCAAAAAUGUUGCAAAAUGACAAAAAGGCCAGGCAAAUAAAAAUGAGGUAUUUACAGCAGAAUCUCAGUUGAACUCAUAGCAGGCCCACAAUGCCACUGGGCAAAGAUUUCUGAGUGGGCAGAACACCCAUUAAAUACCCCUUAGCCCCUCCCCUGGGCAAAACCAUAAACAAAUUACAGGAGUUUAAGGAACAGUGUAGCCAAAUUGGACACCAAGUUCAACAAUCAAUCAUAUAUUGUAACAUGGACAAAAUGACACAAAAAUCCUUUCAUCGGCUGUAUUUACCUUUUCACCUAAAACACAUUAAUUCAGGAGAUAAUACCAAGAAUAACGAUAAUGGUGUGGUCCGGUGGUCACAUGAUUUCCAAAAGCGCGCCACCUAGUGCUAUUUACUGUGGGACCAGGAAGUGCCCCGGUUUGGCUUUGGAAGAUGGCAGCAGGUAAGAGUGUAUGUGUGUGUGUGGCGUGUAGUAGCCCAGUGUGCACAGUUGAACGCUUACAGCGGGGAGAAAAGAGUCCAAGUAGUUGAAAAAGAGUUUGUAGGAGUGCAGGACCGCGAGGGUAAAAGUUAAGACACAGUCUAACGAAGCUUGGCACCGCGGGGAGCGAGAGCGCACUUUGCGCGCUCCUGGCACCGGCAUCUAGCGCGCAUUCGGUCAGCGUCGCGUAUCUGCACCGUGGAGCAGCGCCGUCUAUCGCACACGGGAUAUGUUGUACAGCCACGGUCAGCUGGGCUCAGUAAAGAGGAAAUAAAAUGCUCACAACAGGUUCUUUUGCUUUUCUGUGGUUUAUUUCCUGCUAAAUUGGAUAUAAUCCAGUGACUUUUUGGCCUGUACUGUUUGUGAAAAAGCAACGUGAUUUUACAGUUUCCGGUUUUUGCAGGUUUACUUGUGUUUCAUAAAGUAAUCUAUGUUCCUUUUUGCUGUGCUGUUACCUUCUGACAAAGUUAGCAAGUAAAGUCUUUUUGGUGUCCACAUGGAUCAGCCAGAGUAGUUAAAAGUCCGGUUGGGGUCCACAUGGAUCAAGGAUUGACCAUCGGAUUGUUCUGUAUUACUGAUAAAUCCAUAUCUAGGAAGUACCUCUCAGGUUGUUUUGCUUUUCUGUGGAUUAUUUCCUGCUAAUUUGGAUAUAAUUCAGUGACUGUUGAGCCUCUACUAUAUGUGAAAAAGCAACGUGAUUUUAAAGUUGUGGUUUUUGCAGAUUAACUCAUGUUUAAUAAUCCAUGUUCCUUUAUGCUGUGCUGUUACCUUCACACAAAGUUAGAAGUAAAAGGUCCUUUUGGGGUCCACUUGGGUCAGGGAUUGACCAUCGGAUUAUUCUGUGUUACUGAUAAAUCCAUAACCAGGAAGUAUUUCUCAGCUACACCAACUGAUACACAGUCGGUAGUUCGCAUAUGGUGUUUUAUUUUGAAAUUUACUGGAUGAAAUACGCUGUUUCUGUGCUUGAGUUCAAUGCACAGUAUUGAUAAGUCUAAAAUACCAACAUAAUAAGUGCCACCCUUCAGUCUGCCAGUCUCUGUUAACCAGUUACAAUACGUCAUCUUGAAACAACAACUCAUUCAAACAGAAAUAAUAUAACUAUGAUUCAUUUCCAUGGAGAUCUGUCUGCUUUGGUCGGCUACUUUGCUCUAACUUUCCAAGUGCUCUGUCAUGUGUUUAUGUCUGUCUUCUCAUUGGAGGGUUGCUCCUGCUAAUUGGUCUUAAUUGUUGGUAAUACCCCCACGUCGUUUUGCUUUAGGUUGCCUCGGCAUGCGGCUGAGGAGAUGCCUUUUUUAUUGAUGUGACAGCGCUAAAUUGAGAACCUUUGGCGGAGUGUCAAAGCCUAAUUAAUCACUCUAAUUUCAUCUCUCCAUGCGUCCUCAGCCAGUGAGUGAAUGUGAUCAGAGGGAGAGCCGUGUCUGCGUAGUCUCCUCAUGCUAAUUAGCUGCUAGCCCGGAGAUGGAGAGGCCCUCAGGGUGAGAGGCGAGGGGCUAAAGCCAGUCUAAAUGAUGACCAAGAGAGCAGGAAUCAGAACCCAGUUCAUAUUACAUUCAAGUUGUCCCCACCUCUGACCCCCUCCUCUGCCAGCCAACUCAGUGUGGUUGCUUGAAGGAAUCAAGGCUUACAUGUCCAUCAUUCAUGUGACACUUUAUUGUCUGUCAGGCUGCAUGACCACACCUUCAUUUAAAGUUUAUCUGAUAUGAAUAUUGGGAUCAUUGCUCUGAACAACACACAGUAAAACGCAAACAUCUCUUAUGGCAAUGUUUGGUUUCUUUUAAAAUGGUAUUCCAGACAUGCAGCAGGUACAUAAAAGCUUUGAUGAAACUAUCAGUUCCAUUCAUUCACUGUCAUGUUUAUUAAAACUUAUGUUCAUGAAUCUUAGUUUUAAAAUUGAAAAGUACUUUUGUCUUUGGGUGAGUUUAAAUUAAACAUUUCAGAUACUGGUUAUCUUAUGAUUGGUAACGGUGAAUAUCACAUUCAGACAACCAGGCAGCACCCCAUGAUCAUGUGCAGAUUUUGCAAGCUACAUUAAAUAUCUGGUGUAUGUUACAUUACGCUGUUCAAUGGGUUCAUUUAUUUGUAUAUUAAAGCAGUACAGUUUUGCUUUCUGCAAUAUAACAUGUCAGACAUUACAUAGGUAUACAAACCCUAUUUUCAAGGUAUGUUGUUUUUUAGAAUAGGUUUGAUAGCCGUCUUCAAAAUCUAAACAUGGGAAAGGAUUUUUUUUUUUGGCAAACAUGUUUGUAAACUUUAAAAAUGCUGUUAUCUUAGGAUUUGUUUUCAACUUUUUUAAUUUGGAUGAGGGGAUUAGGAAAUAGAAAAUGUUAUCAUUUUUACUAUGAUACUAAUUCUAGCCACAAAAAUGUGUAAAAAUAAUCCACAAAAAUGAUCCUAAUAUUAGUAUUUUGUUAUUUGUAGAUAAAUGAAAGCAUUAUCUUAGUUAAGUUAAAGUUAGCUAAGUUAAAUACCCUAAAAGCAGUUUAUUUACCCAGUUACAGAUGAAAAAUACUCAGGAUAUUGGUUAUUUGGACAUAUAUUGAUAAGAGCUAAUACGUUUUGAAUAUUAUAUAAUACAUUA
This 3490-nucleotide long non-coding RNA is filed under the name Xyrichtys novacula (pearly razorfish). Lineage: Eukaryota; Metazoa; Chordata; Actinopteri; Labriformes; Labridae. The record is from RNAcentral.